This 1472-nucleotide long non-coding RNA is filed under the name Heterocephalus glaber (naked mole-rat). RNAcentral's name for it is "lncRNA (ENSHGLG00000038017.1)". Lineage: Eukaryota; Metazoa; Chordata; Mammalia; Rodentia; Bathyergidae. The record is from RNAcentral.
CCCGGCCGCUCCUCCGCCGAGCCUGGGGGAGGGAAGACGAGGUUGGAGGUCUCGGGACCCUCCCCUCCCGAGGGCCCCAGCUGCAGGCGCCGCCCCGGCAGCUCGCUGCUCCCUGGGGUGCCCGCACCCCACCUUGCCCUGGCGCUCCAGCGUGGGGGGGCGGGGGAGUGCGGGCGUCGGUCUCGGUGAGCCCUCGCCAUCCUCCGGCCCCGAGGCGUGUGCUCUGGCCCCCCCGCGCCCCGGGCAGCCCCGCUCCGCGCCGGGGACGCGCGGGAUCGUGGGGUUCUCGGAGGCGCACAGUGCCCGCGGAGAGCUGUAAGCCAGGAGUUAAGUAAGGUACGGGCGGCGAGCGUGGAGGAAGGGAGCGCAGAAAGUGAGCGGGGGCGGGGAGGACGGAGCGGGAACGUCCUGUGCCCGCCGCGGGAGGCUCCGCCCCACGCCCGCCUCGGCUGGGGGCGCGGGCCGCCCACCUAGCGCACUAACCUCGUCAGUCUCAGUGCCUUAGCCGGAGUGAGAGCCACCCGGAGGCCUCCGACUCUGGUUCCCGGGCCGGGGUUCGUGCGCGGGAGAAGGAAACGGACUGCGAUGACGGAAUUUGUCCAAAGCCCACACAGCCGUGAUUUGAACCCAAGCCUUCAGCGGAGUCCAGUGUUUCCUUAGCUUUGGCGCAUACAGGGCCGUCCUCAGUAAUGGCCUAGCUGGAUGUUUCCCAUCCCCGCCCCCACCCCCAGCAUCUGGAGCUCUGCAGUGAACCAGGCUGAAGCACCUGCCAGGGUCAGGGUGUAAGGAACGAGGAAGUAGCCUCAGGGUUUCACAGGUGGUUAGGUGGUUUUAGGAGCAAAGCAUCUCAGGGGAAUGGGCUGUGUGCCUGGUUUAGGAAUUUGUGGGGGCUUCAGAGAGGGCUCUGGAGUCCCUGAAGGUGGUGAGAUGGGUUCCAGGAGUUGGGAUUCAGUAGCCUGGAAGGGGCAGUGGUGAUGCGAGGGCUGAAGGGUUUGCUUCUCAGACCUGACACUGCGAGGUGCCCUCCCACCGGUCCCACAGCCUGAGUUCCCCAGCAUUUUGCCCAGGUGAAACUUCCGGAUUGUCAUAAAACCGACGUUUAUUGAAGUCUGUGUGCUGGGCACAGUUCCAAGAGCUCCGCUAAAUCCUUCACAGAAAGUGGGUCUUACUAGUCCCAUUUUACAGGUGGGGAAAAUGAGGUGUAAGGAUUGCUAAGUCAGUGGCUGAAGUGGUUUCGAACACGGCUGUCUGGUCAGGGCCCGGCCUGUCACCCACCCUGAUAUUCUGCACUGAGCUUGGGGGAUCGGGCCCUGGAGGUAAAAUUCUGGCACAGAUGGCACAGAGGUGGGUGCCAGGGCAGCCCGAGACCUUGCUGAGGCCAGGUGAGGACCUCAGGCCACCUCUGUGUAUGUUGGCUCUCAACUUCCCUCUGGACAGCUGUGCCGGAUUUCUAGAUUGGACAGAAAAACAAA